This 139-nucleotide ribosomal RNA is filed under the name uncultured Clostridium sp. RNAcentral's name for it is "partial 16S ribosomal RNA". It matches the Rfam family "Bacterial small subunit ribosomal RNA", at positions 351 to 507 of the family's 1533-position model. Lineage: Bacteria; Bacillati; Bacillota; Clostridia; Eubacteriales; Clostridiaceae. The record is from RNAcentral.
AGAGCGGGGAAUAUUGCACAAUGGGGGAAACCCUGAUGCAGCAACGCCGCGUGAGUGAUGAAGGUCUUCGGAUCGUAAAGCUCUGUCUUCAGGGACGAUAAUGACGGUACCUGAGGAGGAAGCCACGGCUAACUACGUG